This is a long non-coding RNA of Homo sapiens (human), 1659 nucleotides long. RefSeq lists it as uncharacterized. Lineage: Eukaryota; Metazoa; Chordata; Mammalia; Primates; Hominidae. The transcript has 3 exons. The record is from RefSeq and is a predicted model, not a curated record.
CAGAGCGAGACUGUCUCAAAAAAGAAAGAUAGUCAUUUGUGCACUUGGACCCAACAUAUAAAAGGUGCUGACUCUCAUACCUAGACACAGGACAGGUGGGGGAUACUUAAUCUCAGCUCUGGACCUUCCUGAAAGUGUGGUUGUGACAUAGCCCAUCAUGGCUAAGCUCUUUAUUUGUAGCAAGAGGAGGGAGAGAAGGCAGUCUUUGUGGCUCCAGAGUGUCAGGAUUCAUGAGGAUGGCUAGGUCAGUUCUUGAUUUGGGGUGGAAGGCUUUCGCCUAGAUAUUCUAUUAAAAUGUUUUCUUCCUGGACUUAAAUGAUCCUUCCAUCUCGGCCUCCCAAAGUGCUGGGAUUAUAGGCAUGAGCAGUGGCCCGGUCUAGAUAUUCUCACAUUAGAAAGGUAAAGAGCAGUGGACGAGCUGGCUCUCAAGGCUGAGACAUUCUAUCUCCUUAGCUCUUCUUGCAACUCUUCUGAAAAUUGAGCUUGUAAAGUAGCUUUGAUCCUUAAAAAAAAAAAAAAAAUCUGUUGUCUGCUUAAACAAAAGCAGUUCUUAGAGUGGCUUUGCCUUUAUUUUAGUAUAACACAGAUUGCUUCUCCUUUGUUUCCGUUGUCUCAGUGUUCUCCCAGUUCUAAGAAGCUGUCAGCGUAUAUAAUAUAUUACCUGGUUGCCUCAGUCCCCUUCAAAUUUCCAUCCUUAAGGGUUUUCUUCCUAAUGGUUGGGGAAAUUCUUGAAAGGACAAGGUCAAUAUGCCUUUGCUGGGAUAUACUUUUAAAAAAUUUAUUUUGGCUCUGUGUUGUUUGUCAAGGCUUCAGAGAGCCCUGCAAGUGAGAGUGCUCCGUUUACCAUUUUGAAUUUCUCCCUUUCUGGUUGGCCAACAUCGUGUUUCCACUGUAAUCCACCUGAAAAACAAACAGGAAAGUUUACACAGGUCUCUGUGUUCAACCAUCUGCCUCCGCAAUGAUCUCUACAACAAUUGCUGAAAAAAAUGCAUUGUCCAUACUAAUGACAACCCACUGUGUACCUCCUCCCAUGCUCUCCAGCGGUGCAGCUUGUGGUGGUCAGUUGCCUGUUUUUCCUCGCUGUGAACGCUUUUAAUUAAAAGGAAGGGAUUCAGAACCUGCGGAUGUGGAGGGCCAGAGGGCUGAAUUUGCAAGUUGGGCAAUGGGGAAAGCCUUCACAAAGGAGAAAGCCUUUGGGCUGGAAUUGGAGGAGUAGGAGUCAAUAGAGAGAGAAGAGAGUAAAGGGCAAGGCCAUCAUUCCAGGUUUAGGGAGCAAGUACAAAGACACAGAGAAAUGAAAAGGCUUGGCCUGUUUGGAGAAUGUCAAGCUGUCUGGGGUUGAGAGAAAGACAUUCUAACAAGGCUUCCAUUAAAGAGGCUAGAUUUGCUGCUUGGACAUUUUCUAGCUCUUCUGAGACAACUUUUUGUUGAGUUAAGCGAAAAUGAAUGAAAAUCAGAUGGACCAUAUUUCUCUUGAAUGCACACGGGCUUAAAAACGAAGGGGAAAAAGAACUUGACAGAAUGUGUCUUGGCUUUUGCCAAACCCAAAGUAUUUGAAAAAUCACACAGUACACAUCUCGAACCCAAAAACAUGCCUGGAUUCUACCACCCCUAACUGCAGCUGCAGCCAUUUAAUAAAAUGAAUUGUGUACAAGAAAA